ACUAGCAGUAAGAGUUUGAUCCUGGCUCAGAGCGAACGCUGGCGGCAGGCCUAAUACAUGCAAGUCGAACGCACCUUCGGGUGAGUGGCGACGGGUGAGUAACGCGUGGGAACGUGCCCUUUGGUACGGAACAACUGAGGGAAACUUCAGCUAAUACCGUAUGUGCCCUUCGGGGGAAAGAUUUAUCGCCAUUGGAGCGGCCCGCGUUGGAUUAGCUAGUUGGUGGGGUAAAAGCCUACCAAGGCUACGAUCCAUAGCUGGUCUGAGAGGAUGAUCAGCCACACUGGGACUGAGACACGGCCCAGACUCCUACGGGAGGCAGCAGUAGGGAAUCUUGCGCAAUGGGCGAAAGCCUGACGCAGCCAUGCCGCGUGAAUGAUGAAGGUCUUAGGAUUGUAAAAUUCUUCACCGGGGAAGAUAAUGACGGUACCCGGAGAAGAAGCCCCGGCUAACUACGUGCCAGCCGCCGCGGUAAUUC
RNAcentral lists this ribosomal RNA (478 nucleotides) under uncultured bacterium. RNAcentral's name for it is "bacterial SSU rRNA". It matches the Rfam family "Bacterial small subunit ribosomal RNA", at positions 1 to 526 of the family's 1533-position model. The record is from RNAcentral.